Molecule: ribosomal RNA, 273 nt
Filed under: uncultured bacterium
Lineage: Bacteria
Description: partial 16S ribosomal RNA
Rfam family: Bacterial small subunit ribosomal RNA
Source: RNAcentral
UACGUAGGGGGCAAGCGUUGUCCGGAAUCAUUGGGCGUAAAGCGAGCGUAGGCGGCCCGAUAAGUCUGCUGUGAAAGUCAACGGCUCAACCGUUGAAAGCCGGUGGAUACUGUCGGGCUAGAGUUCGGAAGAGGCAAGUGGAAUUCCUGGUGUAGCGGUGGAAUGCGCAGAUAUCAGGAGGAACACCCAUAGCGAAGGCAGCUUGCUGGGACGAUACUGACGCUAAGGCUCGAAAGCGUGGGGAGCGAACAGGAUUAGAUACCCCCGUAGUCC